This 440-nucleotide ribosomal RNA is filed under the name uncultured bacterium. RNAcentral's name for it is "partial 16S ribosomal RNA". It matches the Rfam family "Bacterial small subunit ribosomal RNA", at positions 338 to 795 of the family's 1533-position model. The record is from RNAcentral.
UCUACGGGUGGCAGCAGUGGGGGAUAUUGCACAAUGGGGGGAACCCUGAUGCAGCGACGCCGCGUGAACGAAGAAAUAUUUCGGUAUGUAAAGUUCUAUCAGCAGGGAAGAAAAUGACAGUACCUGACCAAGAAGCCCCGGCUAACUACGUGCCAGCAGCCGCGGUAAUACGUAGGGGGCGAGCGUUAUCCGGAUUCACUGGGCGUAAAGGGAGCGCAGGCGGCACGGCAAGUCCGGUGUGAAAGCCCGGGGCCCAACCCCGGGACUGCACUGGAAACUGCCGGGCUGGAGUGUCGGAGGGGCAGGCGGAAUUCCUAGUGUAGCGGUGAAAUGCGUAGAUAUUAGGAGGAACACCGGUGGCGAAGGCGGCCUGCUGGACGACGACUGACGCUGAGGCUCGAAAGCGUGGGGAGCAAACAGGAUUAGAUACCCUUGUAGUC